RNAcentral lists this ribosomal RNA (497 nucleotides) under uncultured bacterium. Its description in RNAcentral is "partial 16S ribosomal RNA". It matches the Rfam family "Bacterial small subunit ribosomal RNA", at positions 28 to 507 of the family's 1533-position model. The record is from RNAcentral.
GAUGAACGCUGGCGGCGUGCCUAAUACAUGCAAGUCGAGCGAACAGACGAGGAGCUUGCUCCUCUGACGUUAGCGGCGGACGGGUGAGUAACACGUGGAUAACCUACCUAUAAGACUGGGAUAACUUCGGGAAACCGGAGCUAAUACCGGAUAAUAUUUUGAACCGCAUGGUUCAAUAGUGAAAGACGGUUUUGCUGUCACUUAUAGAUGGAUCCGCGCCGCAUUAGCUAGUUGGUAAGGUAACGGCUUACCAAGGCAACGAUGCGUAGCCGACCUGAGAGGGGGAUCGGCCACACUGGAACUGAGACACGGUCCAGACUCCUACGGGAGGCAGCAGUAGGGAAUCUUCCGCAAUGGGCGAAAGCCUGACGGAGCAACGCCGCGUGAGUGAUGAAGGUCUUCGGAUCGUAAAACUCUGUUAUUAGGGAAGAACAAAUGUGUAAGUAACUAUGCACGUCUUGACGGUACCUAAUCAGAAAGCCACGGCUAACUACGUG